UAGGGAGACCUACCCACGUGACCGACGAAAAGUUGGUAGUUGGCACGUUUGGGACAGAGGUCAGCUAGGGACAGUGGGGAGCUGUACUUUCAAACCUUAGGAGUCCGGGGCAGGGGCUAUUAGCUCAGGUGGUCAGAGCGCACCCCUGAUAAGGGUGAGGUCCCUGGUUCGAGUCCAGGAUGGCCCACUGGCGGGGGUAUGGCUCAGUGGUAGAGCGCCUGCUUUGCACGCAGGAUGUCAGCGGUUCGAAUCCGCUUACCUCCACCACGUUCAUCUUCAGCACGUGAUGGGUGUGAUCACACUGCUGGAGGUGAAGGCUCCAGUACCGAACCUUGACAACUGCAUAGCGUUAGAUAGUCCUCACCGAUGGAUAAGGAACCAAGGGCUGAC
This 390-nucleotide transfer RNA is filed under the name uncultured cyanobacterium. RNAcentral's name for it is "partial 16S-23S rRNA intergenic spacer". The stretch from base 193 to 264 matches the Rfam family "tRNA". The record is from RNAcentral. Lineage: Bacteria; Bacillati; Cyanobacteriota.